RNAcentral lists this long non-coding RNA (288 nucleotides) under Phoenix dactylifera (date palm). RNAcentral describes it as "long non-coding RNA (PDAC_LNC022319)". Lineage: Eukaryota; Viridiplantae; Streptophyta; Magnoliopsida; Arecales; Arecaceae. The record is from RNAcentral.
CAAGAAAGCUCUUGCAGUUCCUUUUCCAAUGCCCCGUCUUGCCACAGUGGAAACAGGUACCGGGUCCAGAGAUUUUCUUUCCCUUCUUCUUUUUGAUGCGACUCUUAGGGUUUAGUUUUUUCUUUGAACCCCUGUUGCCCGACUUCUUCUUUGAGCUCUCACCAACAAGAAGGAUCGGACCCUUAUCUUUCUUCAUGUGAGACUCUGCUGUUUUCAGCAUAUUUAGAAGCUCAGGCAGGGAGGAAUUCAGUUUGUUCAUGUGAUAAUUCACGACAAACUGCGAGAAUG